AUAAAUUAGCAGCCUCAUUGGCUAGUACAAGAUGUAUAAACCUUUCAAGAACACAGAAAUCUUUGCAUUGAGAGGAGCUAGGGAAGAAAAGAGCAACAAAGGGAGUACAAAAUCAAAAAGACAUGAAAGGAAAUGAUGAUAGGAUUCUCAAAGGUGUGCCAAUCACAUAUCAGGGAGACAUCUCAAGCCUUGGCUCGAAGCAGAAACCAGUAAAGAGCUGAAGGGGAAACCUCUUUGUCACUGGACAUUUCUGUGACCACCUCCACUGUUUCUGGUUCACGUCAAAAACAAGAAGGGCAGG
Molecule: unclassified non-coding RNA, 301 nt
Filed under: Hevea brasiliensis (rubber tree)
Lineage: Eukaryota; Viridiplantae; Streptophyta; Magnoliopsida; Malpighiales; Euphorbiaceae
Source: RNAcentral